CCUACGGGGGGCAGCAGUGAGGAAUAUUGGUCAAUGGGUGAGAGCCUGAACCAGCCAAGUCGCGUGAAGGAUGAAGGAUCUAUGGUUUGUAAACUUCUUUUAUAUGGGAAUAAAGUGAGGAACGUGUUCCUUUUUGUAUGUACCAUAUGAAUAAGCAUCGGCUAACUCCGUGCCAGCAGCCGCGGUAAUACGGAGGAUGCGAGCGUUAUCCGGAUUUAUUGGGUUUAAAGGGUGCGUAGGUGGUUAAUUAAGUCAGCGGUGAAAGUUUGUGGCUCAACCAUAAAAUUGCCGUUGAAACUGGUUGACUUGAGAUGUCGAGAGGUAUGCGGAAUGCGCAGUGUAGCGGUGAAAUGCUUAGAUAUUGCGCAGAACUCCGAUUGCGAAGGCAGCAUACCGGCGGCGAUCUGACGCUGAGGCACGAAAGCGUGGGUAUCGAACAGGAUUAGAUACCCCGGUAGU
Molecule: ribosomal RNA, 459 nt
Filed under: uncultured bacterium
Lineage: Bacteria
Description: partial 16S ribosomal RNA
Rfam family: Bacterial small subunit ribosomal RNA
Source: RNAcentral